AUGGCCCAGCUCCGUGAGGACGGUCCUGCUCGACCACGUUCGUGGUGUCGUCACAGGAAGCGACGAGGAGCAGACCCGCGAGCAGCCACGCGCCCACACCGGCCGAUCCAGUCCCCCGUUCAAUUAGGUGUGUGGCUGUUGCCUAUUGCUCUCGACGAGCAGCUGCUGAGCAAUGUAGUAGCUUGCAAGGACACAAGACGCAUUGAAUGGCUUGUCAGUCACAAUGGCUACCCCUCCGUCUCUUUAAACCAGCCAGCCUUCUUGUUUCGGCAGUUCAACUAUUCUUGGGUGCUCUCCAUCUCGCUCUCGUUUGACACCAUUGACUCGCCACAGCUGAGAAACAUGUCUUCAUCCAAGUUUCACGGCAGUUCGCCACCACCUCCAUCGCAUGUCCUUUCAAAUCUGGUCGCCCCUCUCAUCCGUUGCCUUUGCAAUGCAGGUACAAGUCAGCUUAUACAAAUGAUUCUUUGUGCUUCUAAGAAAGGUGAAGAAGACGAGCACAACACAAGCUACAAAGGGCUCCCUAGCACAAUUCCUUCGGUGGGGGAGUUCAUCUCUGCAAGUCGGGGCCAAAUGGCAAGGUGGCUUGGCUUGGGGUGCUAUUGGUUGCGAUUGCAGCAAAAGGCGACGACGGUUUUGAGCAACAUGACGCUCCUCUCGAUGGUGGCAUGGGGGAAGGGAGCGAUGUUGCGCCCAUCGAGAUCCAGAGCCUCGUGGCUUCUACCUGCGAGGACUAGGGCCUCUUCCAUGUGCACGAUCAUGACGUGGACGCCACCCUCAUCGCCAACAUGGCGUGCCUGUCCCACGAGCUCUCUGUACUCCGAGCUGAGUAUGACUACCUGCGACGGCGACCAUGUGGGCGUCGGGGCAUUGCUGAGGAGGACACUAGGGAGGCGUGAGACCGGGUCAUCGCUCCUGUAUAUCAAUUUGAAUGCCACCUCGCGCAAAACCACCUUCCAACUGCCGCAGUGGGGUAAAAUAAACCACAUUGUCCCCGCAAACACCAAAUUCUCUGAGCAUCGCUGGAUCCGAGCCAACACCAUUGUCGUCGCCGGCUUUACAGUCGAAAAUGAAGCUCACUGCACGCGGAAGAGCCAUUGUUGUUGUGGCACGUCGACGUGCCUCAUCCCCAUCUACCACCGUCGGGCCGCCAGCCUACUCCCGAGCCUCCACGCUCUCUUGACGGCCAACGCCCUUACCAAGGGCGACAACCACCGACCGUUGACUUCACUCUUGUACAAGCUCCCAUGGCCCCGCAGUGACAUCGGAGGAAAUGCCACUGAGACAGGGACAGGGCCAGGGCCGGAGAAACAAAAUCCCAAAAGGUCGCCACCACUCCGACGACCCCAAGGCACAAAAAUUCCACCAGUGAGCGCCGUCGCCACCAAGAGAACGACGCCCACGGGACCCCUUCUUCUAUGCCUAUCUACACGCCAAGAACGAAACACUGGGUUCCCCGGCCCUCCUGCAGCCGAAGCGGCCGGCGGAGGGACAGGGAACCCACGGGCUCGCCGGCGGGAGAAGAGAGAAGAUCAAGACCCUCCCGGGUCGCCUCUCUCACACUAUAGCAGAGAAGGGGAACGGGUAGAGGUGGUAGUCACGGUGCACAUUAGUUGUGUAAUGGAGUGGAAAUUUGUAGAGAGUCACCUCACCAGCAUAUCCUCUGAUAGAGCUGCUAUACACGGUGAAGAUGACUCCUCCUCCUCUGGCGCUCCCGCGGGCAGCAGGGGAGGAACCCUAGCCGCCGGACGCCUCACCACCUCUCUUCUCCUCCUCCUCCUCCCGCCGCCGCCAGAGGGCGCGCCCGGGCGAAGCCCGGCCGGCGCCGGCAGCGGCGGGGCGUCUUCAUCGCCUCAUGCGGGAGGGCUAGCGCGGGCCAGCCGACCUGGAUCUGGUCAAGGCGUUCUUGCGGGGCGCCGCGGCGCGGCCCCUCAUCGGCGCAGGCGGCUUCCUCCGCCGUGGCAGCCGGCUGGUGGAGGUGACGGCGCAGCAGUGGCGGCCUCGGCCUUCCCCUCCUCUUCUUCAGCUCCGGGGGGAGGUGGUGCUGUGGGCCGGGGGUCGGGGAUGGCUGCCGGCGCCCCAGCCAAAGCUGACCUCGUGGUGGCGCGAGCCGCGUUCGGGAACGCUUUGGGGGUCGGCCGACGGCUCGUGGUUCCGGUGGUGCGUGCCCGGCGGCUCCGGCGCUUGGAGUUCACCGGGCGACGCGGGUUGGGCAGCGGCCGGGUGUGGCCGCUGCUCUGGCCGUGGGCGGCGGCGUGGGGAGGUCCAACGGGUGGCCUCCUGGUGUCGUGGCGGCUUCAGGGUGGCUCGACGGUUCUGCCCGCGACAGCGGCCGGCUUCUCCGGCGUCGGCUCAUCUGCGUGCAGACCGUCUCGACCUUCGCUCCAUCUCCUCGUCGCCCGGCCGCUACUCUCAUCAGAGGGCUGGUCCUCUCCCAGCCGCGGUCCACCGCUCGUCUCGCGCCCGGUGCAGCAGGACCGAGCUCGCCUCGCGCACGGUGCAGCAGGACUGACCUCGUCCCCCUCUCGGUGCUGCAGGACCGAGCUCGUCUCGCGCUCGGGGCAGCAGGACGGGUCGGGGUGCGAAAGGUGGAACCUUUCCGCUCAUCUCUUUCGUUGGUGUUGCGGCGGGUCUCGGGUGAGGUGGUGUCAAGGUAUUGCAUGCCAGGGCGGCGGCCCUAGUGGUGGUAGCGCGGUGCUCUUGGGCGGAGCCCGUGCCUUGGCGUUGCCCGGUCACCAUGGCCAUGUGGACGGCGUGGUUGCCGGGGUGUGGCGUUCGGUGGCGCUAUCCAACGCGGGACUGUAUUGGUCAGUCGACCGGUCCGUAUGUAAUUUUUCCCACAAAGUCGAAACAAACUGGACAGAAGAUUUGUGGAAGUCCGGACAGCAGACACGUAGGCCUCUGACACCCCCGGCCCACCCAAAACCUCCCCGGACGCCGCGCCUCCAUCCUCCCAUCUUUCUCUGCAUUUUCUUCUCCAUUGCCCCCGUCGCCGCUCCACCUCUCCUCCCGUCCCGCCACACCCUUGUGGAAAUCGACGACACCAUCUCCUCCAAUGUUAUACCCGGGCUUCAUGCCGCUUUUUCUCCACAGUCGGUCCAAACCUCUCCUCCGCCCGCUGCACAAGUACCAUCUGCCCCUAUGGACUACAGGAAUAAGAUGGCGAUGAUGCAGGCAGUCAUUGUAGAUGUGGAGCAUGCGGAAGAGCAUGUUCUCAAUUUCAAUGGAUUGAUCAAGGGUCAACGAGUGCUGAACCGCAACAGGGCGCGCGGCCAUUUGACGCCGAUGGACGACUACUUUGCCCCCGAUGCCUUAUCCGCUGACAUUUUUUGCCGGCGCUUUUGGAUGCGAAAAAAUGUCUUCGGCUGUCUCUACCAUGGCGUCCGGUCCUUUCAUGACUACUUCAUCUUGAAGAAAGAUGUCAUGCAUGCAAAGAACUUAAUCAUUGUGUCCCGGAGUCCCUUGGUAUGCUACCCAUGGGCCAUUUGCAAUGUUGAUCUAACACUGUCACACACCUACCCGCUCCAAUGCACCGUCAAAGCACACAUGAAUCCCACGCAGAUGUUCUCAAAGAUCACAGAAUUAUCCCCACGAGGAGGGGAGACGUCGAGGGUACUCUUAGCCAGAAUCCAGCUGGUGUGCGUGGUGAUAAUGGAGACCUCGGUAUGGCCCACCAGCGAUGCAACCUUGGGCGAGGGAAGAGGCGGCCGGCUAGUGAUGCUUGAACAGCGGCUGGCCGCGCGACGGAGAAGGGGCGAUCGAGCACGCGCGACGGAGAAGGGGAAGGCGCAGAAGCUGAGCGGACGAGCAACCCUAUGGGCGCACGUACAGGUAAGAUGGGCUGCACUGCCUCCUCGCUUGUGUAUUGCUGGGCUGGCCGGUGUCCACGUCCAAAAGUAA
This 3900-nucleotide ribosomal RNA is filed under the name Triticum aestivum (bread wheat). RNAcentral describes it as "partial small subunit ribosomal RNA". The record is from RNAcentral. Lineage: Eukaryota; Viridiplantae; Streptophyta; Magnoliopsida; Poales; Poaceae.